AAAACCAGGACAGAAGUGUAAUUUUGCAGCAGGCAUACAAAAUAAUUUUUUGUGAACUCAUUUUCUGCAAUCCAGAGGACUAUAUUUUGGAAGCAGGAAUAGAGCUGCUCUGACACCUGUGAGCACAAAUGACUUUGGAUGAAGGUCGGUGCUGGGCUGCAGCAUUCUGUGUCCAAGCCCCGUACGGAGAAUCCUAUCUCCUCCUGGUGAUUUUAAGGACAGUGUCCUCGCAGGAAGACAUACUGAUUAUGGACAACUGGUACUUCUUACUGGUUUACCUCCUCGCCUUUCAUGUGUGCCUGGGACUGGGAACCCCCCUGCGCUCUGCAGCGGGAUGAAGAACAGCAAUUAAAGGAUGGCCAUAUUCCCUCAGCAGUUCCAUAACCUGCUUUUUUGAAGCAGC
Molecule: long non-coding RNA, 403 nt
Filed under: Anas platyrhynchos platyrhynchos (common mallard)
Lineage: Eukaryota; Metazoa; Chordata; Aves; Anseriformes; Anatidae
Description: lncRNA (ENSAPLG00000026789.1)
Source: RNAcentral